GGUUCGAUUAUGGCUCAGAUUGAACGCUGGCGGGAUGGGCACACAUGCAAGUCGAACGGCAGCUGGACUUCGGUCUGGUGGCGGUGGCGAACGGGUGAGUAAUGAUGGUAAGGACGUGCCUAGUAGCGGGGAUAACUACGCGAAAGCGUAGCUAAUACGCUGCCCUUCGAGGAGAAAGCGGGGGACCUUCGGGCCUCGCACUAUUAAGCGGCCGAUAUCAGGAUUAGCUAGUUGGUGGGGUAACGGCUCACCAAGGCGACGAUCCGUAGCUGGUUUGAAGGACGACCAGCCACACUGGACCAGAGACACGGCCCAGACUCCUACGGGAGGCAACAGUGGGAGUACGGACAAUGGGGGGAAACCUGAUCCAGCCAUCCCGCGUGUGCGAUGAAGGCCUUCCGGGUUGUAAAGCGAAACGCUUUUGGCGGGAAAAACGGCGCAGGAUGACACCCCGUUGCAACUGACGGUAACCUGCAAGAAUAAGCACCGGCUAACUCGCGUGCCAGCAACCGCGGUAAUACGUAGAGUGCAAGCGUUAAUCGAAGUUACUGGGCGUAAGAAAGCGUGCGCAGGCGGUUCGGAAAAGAAGAUGUGAAAUCCCAGAGCUUAACUUUGGGCAUUUUAACUACCGAGCUAGAGUGUGUCAGAGGAGGUGGAGAUUCCGCGUGUAGCAGUGAAAUGCGUAGAUAUGCGGAGGAACACCGAUGGCGAAGCGGAAGCGCCUCCUGGGAUAACGCAGCGGGCAUCAUGCACGAAAGCGUGGGGGAGCAAACGGGAUUAGAUACCCUGGUAGUCACCUAAACGAUGUCAACUAGCUGUUGGGGCCUUCGGGCCUUGGUAGCCUGCAACUAACGCGUGAAGUUGACCGCCUAGAGUACGGUCGCAAGAUUAAAACUCAAAGGAAUUGACGGGGACCCGCACAAGCGGUGGAUGAUGUGGAUUAAUUCGAUGCAACGCGAAAAGCCUUACCUACCCUUGAUACAUGCAGAAUCGAGGUUGGGGUGCUCGCAAGAGAACCGGAACACAGGAGUGCUGCAUGGCUGUCGUCAGCUCGUGUCGUGAGAUGUUGGGUUAAGUCCCGCAACGAGCGCAACCCUUGUCAUUAGUUGCUACGAAAAUGAUGAGGACUACCAUCUUGGACGAAAGGCCGUGAAAAUGAAGGGAUGGCAUCAAGUCCUCGUAGCCCCUUAUGGGUAGGGCUUCACGUCAUACAAUGGUCGGGACAGAGGUCGCCAACCCGCGAGGGGAGCCAAUCCAGAAGCCCGAUCGUAGUCGGAUGCGCAGUCUGCAACUCGACUGCGUGAAGUCGAAUCGUUAAAGUAAUCGCAGGAUCUCAGUAUAUAUAAAGGGACGAUGUUGUGCGGAUCUUACACCCGUCACACCAUGGGAGUGGGUUUUUUGCAAGUAGUUAGCCUAACCGUAAGGAGGGCGAUUACCACGGUAGGAUUCAUGACUGGGGUGAAGUCGUAACAAGGUAG
RNAcentral lists this ribosomal RNA (1478 nucleotides) under uncultured Bordetella sp. RNAcentral describes it as "partial 16S-23S ribosomal RNA intergenic spacer". It matches the Rfam family "Bacterial small subunit ribosomal RNA". Lineage: Bacteria; Pseudomonadati; Pseudomonadota; Betaproteobacteria; Burkholderiales; Alcaligenaceae. The record is from RNAcentral.